This is a long non-coding RNA of Ctenopharyngodon idella (grass carp), 2305 nucleotides long. RefSeq lists it as uncharacterized. NCBI's taxonomy places the organism in Eukaryota, Metazoa, Chordata, Actinopteri, Cypriniformes, Xenocyprididae. The transcript has 2 exons. The record is from RefSeq and is a predicted model, not a curated record.
GAAAGCCUUAAUGAACAGACUGCUGCUUCCGUGAUCUGUCACUUCCGACAUAUCGAGCGGAACUGCGUUCACGCGAUCUACACUUAAAAACACAUUGCGUGUCUACAUGAGGAGGUUGUGUGCUUGCUGAACACAUCCCGGAACGCCCGGUACUCUGGAGGAAUUUCAGUUUUGCUCUCGGUCUCAGGAGAUUCAAUGUAAGUGGAGUUCAGGGUGACGACGGGUGGAGAGCUGAUGAAGCUGGACUUGGGACGACGAACAGGAGGUUUGACAACCGGAGACAGGCAUACGUGAAAGCAGGACUCACUCCAUUACAGCAUUUCCCCAGAGUUCCAGUUGAUGUUGGGAUCGUGUUGGGACAUUUCUUGUAACAUCCACGGGCAUCCCAGGAUGAUGUCAGUGGUGGAUCCUUCCAGCACCAUAAACGAGAUCUGUUCAUCAUUCAGGCAGCCGAUGCGGAGCGUCACAGUGGGGGAGAAGUGGCAGAUGCAACUACGGCCCAGCAGCUUGCCAAGGAUGGUGUGAAUCUCUAAUUCCUGGGAGCAGUGUUUCCUCUUGAUGUUGAGUUUUUGGAGAAGUUGAUGAGAGAUGAAGUUCUCUGCAGACCCAAUGCCAGAGUCAAUGAGGGCUUGCGCUGAAACAGUAAUUUUUGGGGUUAGGAUGUGUACUGUAGUUCUGGUCAGAGGAGCGAUUUUAUGGUACUCACCGUUGGGCGUGGUGGUCGGAUGGGACACAAUGCAGGCAUAACUGAUUGAGAAUUCUUCUUCGACGCUCUGCAUGAGUUAGAUGGUUGGAAUGGACCUGCAUAGGUUCAGCUGCUGGAAGGGUGACAGAUGGUGGACGGAGGACGCAAAGUGGGUCUUUCCAAUGAACAGGCUGAGAGACGUUGUGAAAUGAUGGCCUUUUAAAUGAAAUUCUCCAAGCAGAUGACAUCAUCAUAAAUGACCAUCUGCUGAUGCACUUCAGGGUUUAAAACUAGUUGAAAGAUGGUAAAGAGGGCAGUCUCAUUCCAGCCAUUAGAUGCUGCUAGAGUGGAGAGUACUGACUGAAGCAUUGCCUUGACGCAGGUUAAACAGCUGAUCAUGCACAGACAGUACAGAAGCAGUUUGUGCAAAGACUUCCUUAAAAUGGCUGAUAAAAGAUGUCAGUGAAUUCAUGACUUGCCUAUUAGAAUUCCAGAGAGAUUGAGCCCGCUGAAGUGCUCGACCGGAGAGGAGAGAAAUCAUGAAGGCGAUCCGCGUGCAAUCUGUGGUGAAGAGUUGUGGUUGCAUCUCGAAGUAGAGAGAACAUUGAAGUAUGAACCCGGUGCAAUCCUCCGCCUCACCUGAAGCCAGGGUGGUGCCGGAAGCUCAGGGGAUCAGGGCGGCGACCAGCUAGGCUCGGCCACUAUGGCCGGGACAUGUACUUUAUUAACCUCCUGGAGGCGUAUGGAUUAUAUUUAUGAUGGAUGGAUGUGCUUUUUUGGUCUUGGGUUCCCUUCACUACCAUGGAAAAGCCAGAUUUUUUUAAUAUAACUCUGAUUGUCUUUUAAUGAAAGAAGAUACACGUGUCAUAUACACCUAGGAUAGCUUGAGAGAGAGUAAAUUAUGGGAUAAUUUUCAUUUUUGGGUGAAUUAACCCUUAACAUCUGUUUGUUCACUUGGUCAUUGCCAUCUUCAUUUAACAUAUUAUUUUUUUAAUUUCCCCUUUGUCUUUUUCUGUUCUGCGCCCCAGAAAGUUUCCCUCCUCUGUUCAUUUUGGUCAUGUGACUGUGUCUGUUGACAUGUUCUCAUUUGAUAAUAAAAUUUUUGAACUAAUAUAAAAUGCUAAACAAAAGUGAAAUAAAAAUGUUUCGAUGUGUAUAUAAAUACAAACUAGUUAAAAGUUUGGACAGUCAGCUGCUUUUCCAACCUGUUUGUUUGGGAAGAACAAAACAUGUAGGCACAAUGUAUAUUUAUAUUCAAAAACAAUUUCAAGAACAAGCUUUUAGAUCAAAAGUUUUUUUUAAGAUGAGAAAAACAAGUUUGAGCAUCAAAACUUUGACCAGUAGUGUGUUUAUACACACAAGAUCUUUCUCAAAACUCAACGCUUCAGUUCACGACGGAUCGUUCAGGAACCAUAUGAUCUCAUUCUGAAGCACUUCAGCAAAGUGUGCCGUACUAGAAUCUAAUGUACUUCCUGUUGAGUGUCUGUGAUUGACAGUUUCAGUGUGACUUUAGUCAGUGUAAGAUUCUUGUACAAAAAGCAACAACAGGCAAAAAACUAUAACACUACUUUAGAAAAGCUACUCAUUUAUACAAAAAAAAAAAAAAAAAUUAAAAUGAAA